CCUACGGGAGGCAGCAGUGAGGAAUAUUGGUCAAUGGGCGAGAGCCUGAACCAGCCAAGUCGCGUGAGGGAGUACUGCCCUAUGGGUUGUAAACCCCUUUUGCCGGGGAGCAAAAGCCGGACGUGUCCGGCUGUGAGAGUACCCGAAGACAAAGCAUCGGCAAACUCCGUGCCUGCAGCUGCGGUAUUACGGGGGAUGCGAGCGUUAUCCGGGUUUAUUGGGGUUAAGGGGUGCGAAGGCGGAUUUUUAGGGCAGCGGGCAAUGCGUGGGGCUCAACCCCAUCCAGCCGUUGAAACUGGGGAUCUAGAGUGUGCGAGAGGUAUGCGGAAUGCGUGGUGUAGCGGUGAAAUGCAUAGAUAUCACGCAGAACCCCGAUGGCGAAGGCAGCAUACCGGUGCACAACUGACGCUCAGGCACGAAAGCGUGGGUAUCGAACAGGAUUAGAUACCCUUGUAGUC
This 458-nucleotide ribosomal RNA is filed under the name uncultured bacterium. RNAcentral's name for it is "partial 16S ribosomal RNA". It matches the Rfam family "Bacterial small subunit ribosomal RNA", at positions 338 to 795 of the family's 1533-position model. The record is from RNAcentral.